UAGUGCAUCUUCUAGCAGGAAAUUCAAGAGCAGCAUCUGUACUUCAGUGGAAAGCCAAGCAAUCAGUGAAACCUACGUUAACGUCUAUAGUAGAUGACUGCUCAGACAUUCACUUCAGAAACAGCUGUGCUAACCA
Non-coding RNA from Tinamus guttatus (white-throated tinamou), 136 nucleotides. The record is from RefSeq and is a predicted model, not a curated record. Lineage: Eukaryota; Metazoa; Chordata; Aves; Tinamiformes; Tinamidae.